Papaver somniferum (opium poppy) is the source of this 1756-nucleotide long non-coding RNA. RefSeq lists it as uncharacterized. NCBI's taxonomy places the organism in Eukaryota, Viridiplantae, Streptophyta, Magnoliopsida, Ranunculales, Papaveraceae. The record is from RefSeq and is a predicted model, not a curated record. The transcript is spliced from 4 exons.
AAAAAAAAAAAAAAACUCGCUCUCUCUAUUCUCCUCUCGAGUUUUCUUGUCUUCUUUCUGCUAGGGUUCUACUUUUUGAGUUUCAUUAUACAGGGAAUAUCAGUGACGAUUCUUUUUGUUUACGGUUUCAUAUUGUUGGUUAAAGAACAAUACUUCGAAACAAAUCGCAAAAGCUUGCCAGAAGCCGAAAAACAGUGAAGAUAGUAAUGUUUCCGGUGUUGAAUCUCUUCUGCUUAAAAAGAGUUAAAGAGAUUAUAGAUUUGCUUCAGCAAAAACUUGAAUCAGUGAUUCAGGUCCCUGUAGAAGAAAACCUAAAUCACUUAUCACCUUUUCAUCUUCAUCUUUGCCUCUGUUCUUAAAAAAAAAAAAGAUGUCAUUUACGGUUUGUUGUUUUUUUCUAUAUUUAUUUUGAUUUGGGUGUUGUUCGACUGAUUUUUUGAUUUGUCUCACUGUGUUUUAGUUUUGCAGGUGAGGGUUCAUUACUUCAUCUCUCUUCACCAGACAUGAUUUAGGUUUCUCUUUUGAUUGGGGUUUCUUAUUUUAGGGUUUUCAGUUGCAACCUAACCAAGAUUAUUGUUUUGUUCCCUUUCUCUGUUCAAUUUUGAUUUUGCUCUUAGUUUCGAAUUAGGAUUUUUAAUUAUUCAUAAUUUUGUUUUGAUUUUGCAGGCAAAUUAAUCUCUCUGCAACAAUCGAUACUCAUAGUCAGCUGCUGAUAUACAUUUUGUUUUGAUUUUAUCACGAAUUUAAUCUAAGCUUGCAGUAUACCCUAACUUUUAACCACAACAGAGUGCACAUGAACUAUAAGCGAUUCAUUGGUUUUGUAUGAUAUUACAUGCUUUAGCCGUAGAGAUCGACCGUUCACAAUAUUGCAGCAGGACUGUCUUUGAGGAUGCCAAACACGAAUUGGUCAAGCACUUCUUCUGGGAUGAAGAUUUCCGGUCCAACCAGGAUGCAAUUCUACGUAAGAGGAAAGAACUGGGACAGUAAGUUUCCCUUCAUAAUAGGACCUCGAGUAUGGGAGGCAGGAAGAUCAUAUUAGUGUAUCGCUAAGUUGGUGAAGUUUCCCUUCAUAAUAGGACCUCGAAUAUGGGAGGCAGGAAGAUCAUAUUAGUGUAUCGCUAAGGCACAAGCAUUAGUUGCUUCAAAAAUCAUAUAGAUGUUGAUGAACAACGUAGGAGACAGUCAAACUCAUGGUUAUGCCAACCGUACUCAUGAAGAACAACGAAAUCUGCGAUUGAAGCUCGACUUAGAACCAGGAAAGUGCUGCAAUAUGACUGUUUAACAAAUUGAUUUGGAAAAAAUAAACUCAGCCCGUGCUUUGCCACUAGCAUCUCCCACAUCCAAAAUCACCAUGAUACUAUGUCGGGCAAAGAUCCAUAGCGUCCAGUUUGAGUUCUUUUUACCGAUACUAUUGGAGAUGCUUCUGCAUUUACUUUUGCUGCCCUAUAGAUUAACGGCUUUGGUUUUCUUAAAAGUGUAUUAUGGCCUGGCCACGCACUCUGAAGGAAAAUAACCAGUAGUCAGAUAUGAAGAUCAAUCAUCAUGUUUGUUUGCCAUAUUGUGGGUCUAUGUCACUCUACACAUCUAAGUAGUUCACGGGUACACAUCAUCAGAUGACACUUCUUCUCUACAGAGGAUAAUCUUAAAAUUUGGUUUGUUUCAUACUUUGAAAAAAAAUGUAUGCAGUUAGGUAAUGGUGUUUCAAGUUUUAAGUCAUUUGAUUAACAAGCUGAUCUGAAUUUAACGGAUUUUAGAA